UCAGGGCUCGCAGCGGUGUGCGCCGCCUGAAGAGACCUCGCCGUGGAGAAGCAGCAGCGCCGAGCCGAUGGAGCGGCCGUGUCUGCAGGCGCACGGAGAGCCUCGUGGCUGAGUUGCUCCUGCAACUCUCUUAAAAGAGCGAUCACUGAGGGUGUUGUUGAGCCUUCGGAGCAUAGGGCGCCUUUUUGAAGGCGACCGGCUCCCGGAUGGUCUCAGCUCCCGAAGAGGCUCCGCGGCCGGGCUGGAGCAGGCAGCGGGCGCGGGCCGAAGGUCCAGAGCUUUGUGUGAGUCAGCAGCAGCAUCGCGGGAGGUGAAGCUGGAUGUCGACGUUGGAGGUGACGUGUGCCCGGUGAGCCGUGAGCGCUAGCCAGAAGCCGUUGCUGUCGCUGAAGUCUGACUCGGUGGUGCCAGUCUAAGCCUCCAGGACGAGAGUUUGUCUGCCCAUGAUGCCAUUUCUGAAGGAAGGGGAGAAUGUUUGAGCUUCUGGGCCACCGUGCAUCUUUUGGAGCUUGUCAGCCCGUCGGUUUCCUACGGCCUUCUCCUCCGAGUCUCCUGAUGGG
Hirundo rustica (Barn swallow) is the source of this 560-nucleotide long non-coding RNA. RefSeq lists it as uncharacterized. The record is from RefSeq and is a predicted model, not a curated record. NCBI's taxonomy places the organism in Eukaryota, Metazoa, Chordata, Aves, Passeriformes, Hirundinidae. The transcript is spliced from 3 exons.